UACGGAGGGGGCAAGCGUUGUUCGGAAUUACUGGGCGUAAAGGGCGCGUAGGCGGCCUGUUGCGUCAGGUGUGAAAGCCCCGGGCUCAACCUGGGAUGUGCACUUGAUACGGGCGGGCUGGAAUCCGGGAGAGGAUGGUGGAAUUCCCAGUGUAGAGGUGAAAUUCGUAGAUAUUGGGAGGAACACCGGUGGCGAAGGCGGCAUCCUGGACCAACACUGACGCUGAUGAGCGAAAGCCAGGGGAGCAAACGGG
Molecule: ribosomal RNA, 253 nt
Filed under: uncultured bacterium
Lineage: Bacteria
Description: partial 16S ribosomal RNA
Rfam family: Bacterial small subunit ribosomal RNA
Source: RNAcentral